UUGACCUCAAAUCAGGUAGGACUACCCGCUGAACUUAAGCAUAUCAAUAAGCGGAGGAAAAGAAACUAACAAGGAUUCCCCUAGUAACUGCGAGUGAACCGGGAAAAGCUCAAAUUUUGAAUCUGGCGGUCUUCAGGC
Molecule: ribosomal RNA, 138 nt
Filed under: Suillus mediterraneensis
Lineage: Eukaryota; Fungi; Basidiomycota; Agaricomycetes; Boletales; Suillaceae
Description: partial 28S ribosomal RNA
Rfam family: Eukaryotic large subunit ribosomal RNA
Source: RNAcentral